GGGAUUGCCCUAGUAACGGCGAGUGAAGCGGCAACAGCUCAAAUUUGAAAUCUGGCGUCUUCGGCGUCCGAGUUGUAAUUUGCAGAGGGCGCUUUGGCAUUGGCAGCGGUCCAAGUUCCUUGGAACAGGACGUCACAGAGGGUGAGAAUCCCGUACGUGGUCGCUAGCCUUUACCGUGUAAAGCCCCUUCGACGAGUCGAGUUGUUUGGGAAUGCAGCUCUAAAUGGGAGGUAAAUUUCUUCUAAAGCUAAAUACUGGCCAGAGACCGAUAGCGCACAAGUAGAGUGAUCGAAAGAUGAAAAGCACUUUGGAAAGAGAGUUAAAAAGCACGUGAAAUUGUUGAAAGGGAAGCGCUUGCAGCCAGACUUGCCUGUAGUUGCUCAUCCGGGUUUCUACCCGGUGCACUCUUCUAUAGGCAGGCCAGCAUCAGUUUGGGCGGUUGGAUAAAGGUCUCUGUCAUGUACCUCUCUUCGGGGAGAACUUAUAGGGGAGACGACAUGCAACCAGCCUGGACUGAGGUCCGCGCAUCUGCUAGGAUGCUGGCGUAAUGGCUGUAAGCGGCCCGUCUUGAAACACGGACCAAGGAGUCUAACAUCUAUGCGAGUGUUUGGGUGUCAAGCCCGAGCGCGUAAUGAAAGUGAACGGAGGUGGGAACCUUUCGGGGUGCACCAUCGACCGAUCCUGAUGUCUUCGGAUGGAUUUGAGUAAGAGCAUAGCUGUUGGGACCCGAAAGAUGGUGAACUAUGCUUGAAUAGGGUGAAGCCAGAGGAAACUCUGGUGGAGGCUCGCAGCGGUUCUGACGUGCAAAUCGAUCGUCAAAUUUGGGCAUAGGGGCGAAAGACUAAUCGAACUAUCUAGUAGCUGGUUCCUGCCGAAGUUUCCCUCAGGAUAGCAGUAACGUUUUCAGUUUUAUGAGGUAAAGCGAAUGAUUAGAGGCCUGGGGGUUGAAACAACCUU
Molecule: ribosomal RNA, 957 nt
Filed under: Didymella pomorum
Lineage: Eukaryota; Fungi; Ascomycota; Dothideomycetes; Pleosporales; Didymellaceae
Description: eukaryotic LSU rRNA
Rfam family: Eukaryotic large subunit ribosomal RNA
Source: RNAcentral